UCAGAUGCGCGUAUCGCGCCGGCCCCCCGCCCCCGAGCAGCUCCGUAGCAGCAGGGAAAGGCCGGGGCCUGCGCCCAGGGGAGUAAGUGGCAGAGUAAGGAAUGUGCGAAGCUCUGCGAGAACGCAGAGGAGCUCCGGGGAGAGGAAACUGGAGCUAGGUCUCAAAGGAUGAAUAGGAGUUUGCUGGCAGAGAGGAAGGAGAAGGGCACUGGAGGCACUGGGAUGUUGUCUGAACGAUUACUGAGCGUCUAUUGCAUGCCAGGCCCUGUGCUAGGCCUCGAAGAUAGACAGCUGAGCAAAACAGCCGUGGUCUGCCUGUGAUGAGGGGCUCCGGGCGAGUCACACCCAGAGAACGGCUGGAGCCCUGAAACCCGGCCAAGCCAGAGCCGGAGACCUGAAGUCAGGAACCAGCGCGCCUACAAAACGCGGCUCCGGAUCUUCCUCUGAUUCAGUCUGAUUCGUGACCCUCGGCCUCUGGCAGGUUCCAGGGAGUGGAUUGACAUCUGAGAUGCCCCCCAGCUUGCUGACGCCCCUGCUUCCCUCCACCGAGGGAAAACUCACUUUGCAUCGCUGGUCAGUGUUCUGAGGGAGAAAGCUGAAGUCCACUGCAGGCCUGGUGGGAAGGAGCCUGGCCAGGAGGUUUCACAGACCUGUGUCACCUCCAGAGAAGGAGGCGAGAAUGGUAAUCUCAACCCAUGGAAGUCCUGUCAACCCCACAGCCCACAGCUAUGUCAAUUCCUGCAGGAGCUGCAUGAGGUCCCUUCACUCAGAAGCCUAUGGACGCGUUCAUGCCACCCUCAUAAUGGCAGGCCAAAAAGCAUGGCACCAGCCCGGCCCUCCCCGCCCCUCCCUGCGCUGGCCUCUCCAGCUCUUCUUCCUUUGCCUCAGCUCUCCCUCCAUCCCUUCCCUCCAUUAAAGUUCUCUUAUAAUUGGUUCAAGUAAAUAAGCUUCCUGAAUGGGUUCACUGCAUCCCCUCAGAAUCCCAGGGCCAGGAAGGCCUCCAACUUCCUGUUGUGAGAAUUAGGUCAUUAAAUCAAUGGGGUCGCCUGCUGGGGCGAGGGCUCAGUUCCCCCAGAGGCAGCAGGCUGGCCGCCUCCUGGCCUCCAGAGCCUGCAGGUCCUUACCGCCCAGCUCUGGGGAUGACUAUCCUUGGGAUCCGGCUGGGAGGCUCGAAGCAUGGCCUCCUGGGUGAAAAUUCUUCCUACAGACCCUUAAGAAAAUAAGUUUUAGGGGGCACCUGGGUGGCUCAGUCGGUGAAGCAUCUGCCUUCAUAUCAGGUCAUGAUCCCAGGGUCUUGGGAUCGAGCCCUGCAUGGGGCUCCCUGCUCAGCGGGGAGCCUAUUUCCCCCUCCCCUCCCUCUGUGUGCUUGCUCUCUCUUUCGCUCUCUCUCUCAAAUAAAUAAAAUUUAAAAAUCUUUAAAAAAAAAAAAAAGAAGAAGAAGCUAUAGGAUUACUGCCUCCUUUCUCCUGUAAGCUUUCAACAUAUAGGUGUGCGUUAAUUUGCAUAAAACAUAGGCAUGUUUGUUUACCUCAAAACCAUACGCAUACCAUUGCUACAAAUUGCAAGGAUCCAUUCUACCCACACGUGCCAUUAGCCACACUGUUUGUUUGGAUAACUGC
Mirounga angustirostris (Northern elephant seal) is the source of this 1619-nucleotide long non-coding RNA. RefSeq lists it as uncharacterized. NCBI's taxonomy places the organism in Eukaryota, Metazoa, Chordata, Mammalia, Carnivora, Phocidae. The transcript is spliced from 4 exons. The record is from RefSeq and is a predicted model, not a curated record.